Molecule: ribosomal RNA, 450 nt
Filed under: uncultured bacterium
Lineage: Bacteria
Description: partial 16S ribosomal RNA
Rfam family: Bacterial small subunit ribosomal RNA
Source: RNAcentral
GUGGGGAAUCUUCCGCAAUGGACGAAAGUCUGACGGAGCAACGUCGCGUGAGUGAAGAAGGUUUUCGGAUCGUAAAGCUCUUUCGUUAGGGACGAACGUGCUCUUUGUGAAUAAUGAGGAGUAAUGACGGUACCUAAAUAAGAAGCCACGGCUAACUACGUGCCAGCAGCCGCGGUAAUACGUAGGUGGCAAGCGUUGUCCGGAAUUAUUGGGCGUAAAGCGCGCGCAGGCGGGAUAUCAAGUCUGUCUUAAAAGUGCGAGGCUCAACCUCGUGAGGGGACAGAAACUGGUAUUCUUGAGUGUCGGAGAGGAAAGUGGAAUUCCAAGUGUAGCGGUGAAAUGCGUAGAGAUUUGGAAGAACACCAGUGGCGAAGGCGACUUUCUGGACGAUGUCUGACGCUGAGGCGCGAAAGCUAGGGGAGCGAACGGGAUUAGAAACCCGGGUAGUCC